RNAcentral lists this ribosomal RNA (286 nucleotides) under uncultured bacterium. Its description in RNAcentral is "partial 16S ribosomal RNA". It matches the Rfam family "Bacterial small subunit ribosomal RNA", at positions 333 to 636 of the family's 1533-position model. The record is from RNAcentral.
UUGUCCCUACGGGGGGCAGCAGAGGGGAAUUUUGCGCAAUGGGGGGAACCCUGACGCGGCAACGCCGCGUGCGGGACGAAGGCCCUCGGGUUGUAAACCGCUUUCAGCAGGGAAGAUCCAAGACGGUACCUGCAGAAGAAGCUCCGGCUAACUACGUGCCAGCAGCCGCGGUAAUACGUAGGGGGCGAGCGUUAUCCGGAUUCAUUGGGCGUAAAGCGCGCGUAGGCGGCCGCCUAAGCGGGACCUCUAACCCCGGGGCUCAACCCCGGGCCGGGUCCCGGGCUGG